CAAUAGCGUAUAUUAAAGUUGUUGCGGUUAAAAGCUCGUAGUUGGAUUUCUGCUGAGAACGACCGGUCCGCCCUCUGGGUGUGUAUCUGGCUCUUUCUUGGCAUCUUCUUGGUGAACGUUGCUGCACUUGACUGUGUGGAGCGCUACCCAGGACUUUUACUUUGAGGAAAUUAGAGUGUUUCAAGCAGGCAUACGCCUUGAAUACAUUAGCAUGGAAUAAUAAGAUAGGACCUCGGUUCUAUUUUGUUGGUUUCUAGAGCUGAGGUAAUGAUUAAUAGGGAUAGUUGGGGGCAUUCGUAUUUAACUGUCAGAGGUGAAAUUCUUGGAUUUGUUAAAGACGGACUACUGCGAANGNAUUUGCNAAGGAUGUUUNCAUUG
Molecule: ribosomal RNA, 378 nt
Filed under: uncultured eukaryote
Lineage: Eukaryota
Description: partial 18S ribosomal RNA
Rfam family: Eukaryotic small subunit ribosomal RNA
Source: RNAcentral